This 2851-nucleotide ribosomal RNA is filed under the name Listeria monocytogenes. RNAcentral describes it as "bacterial LSU rRNA". It matches the Rfam family "Bacterial large subunit ribosomal RNA". Lineage: Bacteria; Bacillati; Bacillota; Bacilli; Caryophanales; Listeriaceae. The record is from RNAcentral.
UUGGUUAAGUUAGAAAGGGCGCACGGUGGAUGCCUUGGCACUAGGAGCCGAAGAAGGACGGGACUAACACCGAUAUGCUUUGGGGAGCUGUACGUAAGCGUUGAUCCAGAGAUUUCCGAAUGGGGGAACCCACUAUCUUUAGUCGGAUAGUAUCCUUACGUGAAUACAUAGCGUGAGGAAGGCAGACCCAGGGAACUGAAACAUCUAAGUACCUGGAGGAAGAGAAAGAAAAAUCGAUUUCCUGAGUAGCGGCGAGCGAAACGGAAAGAGCCCAAACCAAGAAGCUUGCUUCUUGGGGUUGUAGGACACUCUAUACGGAGUUACAAAAGAAAGUUAUAAAUGAAGCGGUCUGGAAAGGCCCGCCAAAGACGGUAACAGCCCGGUAGUUGAAAUGGCUUUCCCUCCAGAGUGGAUCCUGAGUACGGCGGAACACGUGAAAUUCCGUCGGAAUCCGGGAGGACCAUCUCCCAAGGCUAAAUACUCCCUAGUGACCGAUAGUGAACCAGUACCGUGAGGGAAAGGUGAAAAGCACCCCGGAAGGGGAGUGAAACAGUUCCUGAAACCGUGUGCCUACAAGUAGUUAGAGCCCGUUAAUGGGNGGAGCCGUAGCGAAAGCGAGUCUGAAUAGGGCGCAUAAGUAACAGGUCGUAGACCCGAAACCAGGUGAUCUACCCAUGUCCAGGAUGAAGGUAAGGUAAUACUUACUGGAGGUCCGAACCCACGCACGUUGAAAAGUGCGGGGAUGAGGUGUGGGUAGCGGAGAAAUUCCAAUCGAACUUGGAGAUAGCUGGUUCUCUCCGAAAUAGCUUUAGGGCUAGCCUCGAGGUAAAGAGUCAUGGAGGUAGAGCACUGUUUGGACUAGGGGCCCUUCUCGGGUUACCGAAUUCAGAUAAACUCCGAAUGCCAUGUACUUAUACUCGGGAGUCAGACUGCGAGUGAUAAGAUCCGUAGUCGAAAGGGAAACAGCCCAGACCACCAGUUAAGGUCCCCAAAUAUAUGUUAAGUGGAAAAGGAUGUGGGGUUGCUUAGACAACCAGGAUGUUGGCUUAGAAGCAGCCACCAUUGAAAGAGUGCGUAAUAGCUCACUGGUCGAGUGACCCCGCGCCGAAAAUGUACCGGGGCUAAACAUAUUACCGAAACUGUGGAUGAACCUCUUUAGAGGUUCGUGGUAGGAGAGCGUUCUAAGGGCGGUGAAGUCAGACCGGAAGGACUGGUGGAGCGCUUAGAAGUGAGAAUGCCGGUAUGAGUAGCGAAAGAAGGGUGAGAAUCCCUUCCACCGAAUAUCUAAGGUUUCCUGAGGAAGGCUCGUCCGCUCAGGGUUAGUCGGGACCUAAGCCGAGGCCGAUAGGCGUAGGCGAUGGACAACAGGUAGAGAUUCCUGUACCAGUGCUAAUUGUUUAACCGAUGGGGUGACACAGAAGGAUAGGGAAUCGCACGAAUGGAAAUGUGCGUCCAAGCAGUGAGUGUGAGAAGUAGGCAAAUCCGCUUCUCGCGAAGCAUGAGCUGUGAUGGGGAAGGAAAUUAAGUACGGAAGUUCCUGAUUUCACGCUGUCAAGAAAAGCCUCUAGGAAGAGUAGUACUGCCCGUACCGCAAACCGACACAGGUAGAUGAGGAGAGAAUCCUAAGGUGAGCGAGAGAACUCUCGUUAAGGAACUCGGCAAAAUGACCCCGUAACUUCGGGAGAAGGGGUGCUCUAUUAGGGUGCAAGCCCGAGAGAGCCGCAGUGAAUAGGCCCAGGCGACUGUUUAGCAAAAACACAGGUCUCUGCAAAACCGUAAGGUGACGUAUAGGGGCUGACGCCUGCCCGGUGCUGGAAGGUUAAGAGGAGUGCUUAGCUUCGGCGAAGGUACGAAUUGAAGCCCCAGUAAACGGCGGCCGUAACUAUAACGGUCCUAAGGUAGCGAAAUUCCUUGUCGGGUAAGUUCCGACCCGCACGAAAGGCGCAACGAUCUGGGCACUGUCUCAACGAGAGACUCGGUGAAAUUAUAGUACCUGUGAAGAUGCAGGUUACCCGCGACAGGACGGAAAGACCCCGUGGAGCUUUACUGCAACCUGAUAUGGAAUGUUUGUACCGCUUGUACAGGAUAGGUAGGAGCCGAAGAGACGUGUGCGCUAGCAUACGAGGAGGCAAUGGUGGGAUACUCCCCUGGCUGUAUGACCAUUCUAACCCGCCACGCUUAGCGCGUGGGGAGACAGUGUCAGGUGGGCAGUUUGACUGGGGCGGUCGCCUCCUAAAGAGNUCCCUCAGAAUGGAUGGAAAUCAUUCGCAGAGUGUAAAGGCACAAGGGAGCUUGACUGCGAGACUGACAAGUCGAGCAGGGACGAAAGUCGGGCUUAGUGAUCCGGUGGUUCCGCAUGGAAGGGCCAUCGCUCAACGGAUAAAAGCUACCCCGGGGAUAACAGGCUUAUCUCCCCCAAGAGUCCACAUCGACGGGGAGGUUUGGCACCUCGAUGUCGGCUCGUCGCAUCCUGGGGCUGUAGUCGGUCCCAAGGGCUGGGCUGUUCGCCCAUUAAAGCGGCACGCGAGCUGGGUUCAGAACGUCGUGAGACAGUUCGGUCCCUAUCCGUCGCGGGCGCAGGAAAUUUGAGAGGAGCUGUCCUUAGUACGAGAGGACCGGGAUGGACACACCGCUGGUGUACCAGUUGUUCCGCCAGGAGCAUCGCUGGGUAGCUAUGUGUGGCAGGGAUAAACGCUGAAAGCAUCUAAGCGUGAAGCCCCCCUCAAGAUGAGAUUUCCCAUUUCUUCGGAAAGUAAGAUCCCUGAAAGAUGAUCAGGUAGAUAGGUUUGGAGUGGAAGUGUAGCGAUACAUGGAGCGGACAAAUACUAAUCGAUCGAGGACUUAACCAAAA